Non-coding RNA from Macaca mulatta (Rhesus monkey), 3845 nucleotides. The record is from RefSeq and is a predicted model, not a curated record. Lineage: Eukaryota; Metazoa; Chordata; Mammalia; Primates; Cercopithecidae.
UCUGGUAGUUCUGCUGACUUGCGAUGUCCCCGUGCUUUCGGUUGUCCUGCUUCGUGGUCAUGGCAGCCUGAGUGACACUGUGUUACUGGCUAGCAGGAACGUUCUUACUCCUGGCUUUCCGCGGUGACGUGCCUCCUGAGAAAGCGAAGCCUGCGUAUGUCUCUGUGUUGGCUGCUGUGGGGACUCACGUGCCUGGAGUCCCUAUAAGGAACUGAGCGCCAAAAUCUAGCAGCGUUCAGUUUGUGACAGAACAGGAAGAGGUCAAGAGAAAUGGGAAACUAAGACAAUGUGAAUAAAACCCAAAGAAUUACCUUGGUGAAAGUCUAGACGAUAAUUUGUUUCUAAAAAUAAGGAUGAUCUAUCUCCAGGUAGCGGGCCCCAGGCAGUUCUAGAAACUGCAGGUCCUCUCCUGGCAGGGUGGGGUGGGAAUGGCGCUACCCGGCACCCCGAGCGCCACAGGGAUGACUUCCAAGGUGUGAGGGGCUUUAGUUAUGGGGCAAGGCUGGCGGAGAGGGAACACGGAGGCGUUUGGGGAGGAGGGAGGGCUUGUCGUGGUGCUGACCUUGACCAUCACCGCUCAGUGGCAGCACCUCCGCUGGCCAGCUACUUCAGGAGCAGGGUCACCACCAGCGUGCCAGCACUCCAGUAGCAGGUUGGAGUUUGACCCUUGCUUGGCGUGUUAAUUGGGUAGAGCCAGGACGCUUUCAGGGCGAGAGAGGGGCCGGGUGACUUGGUUCAGGGCGCUGGGGGAGCCUGCUGGAACUGGAGCACUGGCGCGCUGGUCAUGACCGUGCUCCUGAAGUAGCUGCUGACAUGCACUCCCGAGCAUCCACGUGGGUACCCUGUGUUCCGGACGGCUCCGGGGCCGCGCGGCAGAACCAUGCCUGGUCUCAGUGUGGCCCUGGAGAAAUCUUGCCCACCAUGAUUGUGCCAGCCACAGUGUGCUUCCCACCUAGCAGACAGCGGUGUGCCUGACACAGUUCUGGUGGGUUGUUCUAAGGAUUCUUGACUUUAUUGUAGGAAAAUCUAUGCUGCUGUGGCCGGUUUCCAUGCCCGAUACUGCGAGUCAGCAAACGUGAGCAAGCCUCUCCGGGGCCCCACCUCCCCGUCUCGCAAAUCCGUACAGUCGCUCCAAGCCACAGUAGAACACAGGCUGCAGUGACACCCCUUUGACUCACAACUUCCAAGCCCAGAUGAACUUGAAUUUUCGUUUUGGAGUCUUUCAAUAGUUGAACAUAUAUUUGGUGUUUUCCAAGUUUACCUCAAAACUUUCAAGAGCAACUUUUAAUAGCAAAAGGAGCGGAACUGGGGAAGUUUCACAGAAGAGACUAAGUAGGCUUGUGCGUGUUUUAAGUUGAAAAGCUCCAAAGGCCUUGCAGAGCUUCUCCUUCUCAGUGAGGCCUGGCGUGGGUUCCAUGUGUGGCCAGAGUGCCUGGCCCCUGACCUUUGACUGUAGUGAAUGGAAUGAGCGUUGGCAGGGGCAACUAGGACUCACUGCCCCUCUAGGACUCACUGGUGUGGGCGCUUCUGUCUCAGGAUCCUCUGGGCUCACAAAGUAAGCUGAGGUUCUGUUUGACCCUUGCGUGGCACGUUAAUUGGGUAGAGCUGGAUGCUUUCAGGGUAGGAGAGGUGCCAGGUGACUUGGUUCAGGGCGCUAAGGGAGCCUGCUGGAAACGAGCUGUGUGCCUCUGUCCAGGCGUGUGGGUACUGGGUCAGCAGGUGAGGAAGGAAUGCCGUUCCCUGCCACCCCUGCCAUCUGCAGGUGAGGCAGCUCUCCACAAAUCAUAGGAGAGUGUGAAUUUCCAGGGGUCUGACCUCCAAGUUGAGGUAGGAGCUAGAACAGGAUGGAAGGACGGCUUGCAUUUCCACCCGUGACAGUGUCUUGCUGCUGAUGUCAGCGUGGGGCAGAAGAAGCUGCGUUGCCACUCACUAAGUGGUGAUACCAAGGGAUCCCAUGGAUUGACUUUCGCGUGUUCAACUAGCCUCGCAUACUUGGAAUGAUCCUACUUGGGAUUGCUGGAUUCAACCUGGUUAUGCUUGGUUGUGAAUUUUUUUUGCAUCUAAAUUCAUAGGAGAUAUUUGUCUGCAGAUUUCUUCUUUUUGUGCUAUCUUUAUUUGAUUCUGGUAUCAAGGUCAUACAGCUGGAGAAGCCCAAUGCCUGGGACCAGAAAUAUUUCAGAUUUUGGAUGUUUACAGAUUUUGGAAUAUUAUAUACUUACUGUUUUAGCAUCCCUAAUCCAAAACUCUGAGAUCUGGAAUGCUUCAGUGAGAUUUCCUUUGAGUAUCAUGUUGGUGCUAAAAAAGUUUCAGAUUUUGGAGCACUUUGGGGUUCAGAUUUUCAGAUUAGGGAUACUCAGCCUGUUCCGGCUGCAUACAAUGAAUUGGGCAGUUCUUCCUCCUCUCUAUUUUCUGGAAGAGAUUGUGUAUAAUUUUUGUUAAUGCAUUUUUAGAUAUUUGGUAGAAUUUUCCAGUGAAACCAUCUGGGCCAAGGUGGGGUUCUUUUCUGGGAGCUUUCUCGUUAUGAAUUUAAUUUCUUUAAUGGUUGUGGAACCAUUUGGAUUGUCUGUUUCAUCUUGAUUGAGUUUUGAUGGUUUGUCGUUUCUGAGAAAUUGGUCCAUUUCUUUUAAGUUGUUAAGAGCGUAAAGUUCUCGGUAGUCCUCCUUUUUGUCUUUCAAUGGCUGCAGGGUCUGUGGUGAUUUCCCUGGUUUCCUUCCUGAAAUUGGUGAUUGGUGUCCUCUCUCUUUUUGUCUUUGUUCUCUUGCUAGAGGUUUAUCAAUUUUAUUGAUUUAUUUAUUUUUUUUUUCGAGGAGCAAGUUUUUGUCUCAUUGAUUUAUUUCCUUUUAUUUUCUCGUUUUCAGUCUCACUCACUCCGGGACCAUAUUUGUACACCUGCAGCCAAGCAUUAAAGAGACAUUCUAAGAAAGGGGCAGGGGUAGCAGGGAGGCUCCCUCACUAGGGGGGUUUGUGGAGGGGAGCCACACUGCCAGCACCAUUUCUAGGUCAGAAAGAGAAAGCACUGGGAAUGACAAGCAUUUUCUUUUCUUUUCAUUGUGGCAUCCUGGGCUAUGACACGCUCCCAUGUGCGUCACCUGUAAGUCCUCAGACCUUCGUGGGGUGGAACGGACACCCGGAUAGCCAAGGGAAUGAAGGAGCCAGGUCUGUUGUGCCAUCUCACAGAUGUUCACUCCGUUUCUCUUCCAGUUGGCUUCAGAUUUGGGAUGAAGCAGCCCUGUGGUCUUGGAAAUGCCAGAUGGACAUGUCUGGCCACAAUCUACUGACACUUACUUCCCCUGCCAGAGGCACGCUCCCCGGGUGACAGGAUCUCAUUGGCUGGGAUAUCAUUUCAGGUCACGCUCCCCGGGUGACAGGAUCUCAUUGGCUGGGAUAUCAUUUCAGGUCUACAUUUUUAAGGCAUUAGCAUAAUGAAGGACACUGUGUUGUGACAAUAGACUUCUGGCUGGACAGUAGCUGAGUUUGUUGCCUGUAAGUUCUUUCCCGUGAGGACAGGGUAUGUGGAGGUGCCUGGGACUGAACCCACAACCCUCGCAGGUUCUCAGCCCGCUGGUGUGAGUUGGUGGUGAUGAGCUCCGGAAAUUGCUGACCGUGGGUUCUGCCUGUCCUUCGGAAUGAGGCCAUCCCUGUGCUGUCCUUAGGGCCUGGGCUGCAGAGACUGAGUGCUUGGUCUCUUGAUUUGUCAGGGCGGGUGUGGUCUGGGGCAUCUGGAUGGGGCCCUGAGAUUCCAGAACUUCAUUGCUGAGCUUUAUUUCAGACACGACUGUUAGGAGACAUUGUUUUAGUUAAUGAAGCGUAUCUCAGAGAUCGUGUAGUAAAAUUGGCAGAUGAGG